AGAGUUUGAUCAUGGCUCAGGAUUAACGCUGGCGGCGUGCCUAACACAUGCAAGUCGAACGGGGUAGCAAUACCUAGUGGCAGACGGGUGAGUAACGCGUGGUCAACCUACCGUUGAGUGGGGGAUAACUAGCCGAAAGGUUAGCUAAUACCGCAUACGAGUCUCGGGGGCAUCCCUGGGCCUUAAAAAGAGCAAUCUGC
This 200-nucleotide ribosomal RNA is filed under the name uncultured bacterium. RNAcentral's name for it is "partial 16S ribosomal RNA". It matches the Rfam family "Bacterial small subunit ribosomal RNA", at positions 8 to 218 of the family's 1533-position model. The record is from RNAcentral.